This 466-nucleotide ribosomal RNA is filed under the name uncultured bacterium. RNAcentral describes it as "partial 16S ribosomal RNA". It matches the Rfam family "Bacterial small subunit ribosomal RNA", at positions 28 to 507 of the family's 1533-position model. The record is from RNAcentral.
GACGAACGCUGGCGGCGCGCCUAACACAUGCAAGUCGAACGAGCGAGAGGAGGUUUACUUUCUCAAGCGAGUGGCGAACGGGUGAGUAACGCGUGAGGAACCUGCCUCAAAGAGGGGGACAACAGUUGGAAACGACUGCUAAUACCGCAUAAGCCCACGACCCGGCAUCGGGUAGAGGGAAAAGGAGCAAUCCGCUUUGAGAUGGCCUCGCGUCCGAUUAGCUAGUUGGUGAGGUAAUGGCCCACCAAGGCGACGAUCGGUAGCCGGACUGAGAGGUUGAACGGCCACAUUGGGACUGAGACACGGCCCAGACUCCUACGGGAAGCAGCAGUGGGGAAUAUUGCACGAUGGGGGAAACCCUGAUGCAGCGACGCCGCGUGGAGGAAGAAGGUCUUCGGAUUGUAAACUCCUGUUGUUGAGGAAGAUAAUGACGGUACUCAACAAGGAAGUGACGGCUAACUACGUG